Molecule: ribosomal RNA, 460 nt
Filed under: uncultured bacterium
Lineage: Bacteria
Description: partial 16S ribosomal RNA
Rfam family: Bacterial small subunit ribosomal RNA
Source: RNAcentral
CCUACGGGUGGCAGCAGUGAGGAAUAUUGGUCAAUGGACGAGAGUCUGAACCAGCCAAGUAGCGUGAAGGAUGACUGCCCUAUGGGUUGUAAACUUCUUUUAUAUAGGAAUAAAAUGUUCCACGUGUGGGAUUUUGUAUGUACCAUAUGAAUAAGGAUCGGCUAACUCCGUGCCAGCAGCCGCGGUAAUACGGAGGAUCCGAGCGUGAUCCGGAUUUAUUGGGUUUAAAGGGAGCGUAGGUGGAUUGUUAAGUCAGUUGUGAAAGUUUGCGGCUAAACCGUAAAAUUGCAGUUGAAACUGGCAGUCUUGAGUACAGUAGAGGUGGGCGGAAUUCGUGGUGUAGCGGUGAAAUGCUUAGAUAUCACGAAGAACUCCGAUUGCGAAGGCAGUUCACUGGACUGCAACUGACACUGAGGCUCGAAAGUGUGGGUAUCAAACAGGAUUAGAUACCCUUGUAGUC